This 253-nucleotide ribosomal RNA is filed under the name uncultured bacterium. RNAcentral's name for it is "partial 16S ribosomal RNA". It matches the Rfam family "Bacterial small subunit ribosomal RNA", at positions 524 to 776 of the family's 1533-position model. The record is from RNAcentral.
UACAGAGGGGGCAAGCGUUAUUCGGAAUUAUUGGGCGUAAAGAGCUCGUAGGCGGCUUGUUGCGUCGGAUGUGAAAGCUCGGGGCUUAACCCUGGGUCUGCAUUCGAUACGGGCAGGCUAGAGUGUGGCAGGGGGGACUGGAAUUCCUGGUGUAGCGGUGAAAUGCGCAGAUAUCAGGAGGAACACCGGUGGCGAAGGCGGGUCUCUGGGCCAAUACUGACGCUGAGGAGCGAAAGCGUGGGGAGCGAACAGG